AACGUAGGUACCGAGCGUUAUCCGGAUUUACUGGGCGUAAAGCGUGUUCAGGCGGCCUGGCAAGUCGGGCAUGAAAUCUCUCGGCUCAACCGAGAGAGGCUGUCCGAUACUGCUGGGCUUGAGGACGGUAGAGGGUGGUGGAAUUCCGCGUGUAGUGGUGAAAUGCGUAGAUAUGCGGAGGAACACCAGUGGCGAAGGCGGCCACCUGGACCGUCCCUGACGCUCAAACACGAAAUCUAGGGUAGCGAACGGG
RNAcentral lists this ribosomal RNA (253 nucleotides) under uncultured bacterium. Its description in RNAcentral is "partial 16S ribosomal RNA". It matches the Rfam family "Bacterial small subunit ribosomal RNA", at positions 524 to 776 of the family's 1533-position model. The record is from RNAcentral.